Molecule: long non-coding RNA, 1506 nt
Organism: Pygocentrus nattereri (red-bellied piranha)
Lineage: Eukaryota; Metazoa; Chordata; Actinopteri; Characiformes; Serrasalmidae
Exons: 2
Source: RefSeq, a predicted model, not a curated record
AAAGGGAAGGACUUCAACCACGCGACCACUCUUCUGCCACCUACCGCCUCGGCGCCUCAACAUGCCACAAUAACAAUGAUGCACAUAAUAAACCACCCAGACUGGCCAGACAGGCCAAGGAUCAGGAAAAUGUGUUCAUUCAGAGCUGCGCAGAUGUCACGUGCAGAGUCGGAGCCGCACUCAGUUUGCGGUAGCCGUUAGGGCGCACCUUCUCCCCGCUGCAGAGUCGGUGACGGCGCUCAGCAGGUCUGUUCAGACAAAAGGAUUUAGGAGCAGUACAGUCAUCUGCACGAACACCUCAGCCUGACCGCAGCAGUCCGGCACCGUCGUCUGUGACCGCCUGCAGCGGAGCACUGCAGACUACAACCAAUUACAGACUACAGCCCUUAAAUGGUUCUGGUUUAUUCGCGGUGAACAGAUGCCGGUUAUUCAGGAACAAAGAAAGGAGGAAGUCUUUUUGUUGUUCUCUGUCUACCUGGCCCAUGAAAUCUGAGACAGCCAAUCACCUUUCUGAAAGUCGACAUUCAAGAUCUCCGCACUCAUUCGCUCUUACGCAGAACCUCGCUUUUGUCUGCCCUUCAGUCAUUUUGUCCAGUGAUGGUUAAGAGUGAUAUGAACAGCAGUGUUAGGGUGGAGUCCAUCAGUACAGACAGGCAGGCCCACUCUGGACGAAUGAAAUGGCCCAUUUUUAACUCCUUCAAUUUUCAGAGCCAUUUCAGCUUGGCUUCCACACGCCGUUUACACGACCUCGUUUACACCUAAACGCCCGAAUUAUUCAGAAAUGUGGAGGAGUUCCCUUUAACUUUACAGCUUUGACCACAAACGCAGACUGCGUCGCUUCACAGUCGUAAUGGAUUUGAAGACAGAAUUCACACUACUCCUCUUCUAUUGACGCACGACCUUGUUUUAUGUUACAUUUUGCAGAAAAUAAAAAGGACAUUAAAUAAAAUAUGAAACGGUUCCACAGUAUUCACAAGGGUCAGUGUCCAAUGCUGAAUGCUACUGUACUUAACUACAUUUAAAAAUAAAGACUUUUCCCAUGUGAUCCUGUAACAUCAUGCUGACAAUGUGAUUGUAUCUAAAGAAACUCUGUUCUGUAUGUCUCCUAUACAGCAAAAAUCACCCCAUUUAACCCCAAACUCUUUCAUCAGUCUAUAACUGUAUAUGGUUUAGUCUUUUUUAAUCCAAAUCUGGGUCUGGAAAUCUGAGCCUAUAUGUUUAAAAUGGGUCACUGAUGUACUGCCAUGCUGUCCAUGAUGUUUCCUGAGCAGUGACUGAGCCUCUGUAGCCUCUUCUUGAGAAAAAUCAGCACACAUGACAACACUGGAGCAUGAUUUUCUUUUUAAGUACGUGGUUUAUUAUUUUUUUUCACCGUAUACAUGGAUCUUCGUAUUUUAAAUUUGAUGGGUAAAAGGUUAUGUAACUAAUGCACCCCUCUUUAUAAACAGAGGAUCUUAGUACUAAAAAUAGCACUUAAGAAAAACUAUAAAACCCUAAAUCAAUACU